Molecule: long non-coding RNA, 1022 nt
Organism: Aegilops tauschii subsp. strangulata
Lineage: Eukaryota; Viridiplantae; Streptophyta; Magnoliopsida; Poales; Poaceae
Source: RefSeq, a predicted model, not a curated record
UUUGAGGAUGCGGUCGCGCGCCGUGCCGUGUCAUCUGUCUGUUUUGAUCCAAACGGACACGGGCGGACAUGAUAGGGUCGCGCGUUGAUGGUGGCCUAAAGCAUGAUCCAUCUGGUUCUUGCUGUUCUUUUUUCUAUCGUUCUUACAGUUUAUUUUAGGGGAAACGGAUGGAGGAAUGGCUGUUUUUUUCAUUUUGAAGGAAACGAAGUCGGCAUGCUGUGCGUCGCUGGAUUUGCUGGGAGCACAGAUGGGAGUACGACUCGGGAGCAGGUAAGCCACAUCCAUUUGCUGUUGUUUCUCUUUUCCUUUUAGCUAAAACAUUCCGUAAUAAUAUGGUGGAAACAGAAACAUAUGCUAUACCUUCGUUAUAGAUCCUGACGGCAAAAAAUCUUGUUUAAAUUAUGGAUGAAAGUCUGCUUUGUGGUUUUUUCUACUUGAUCUGAUGGCUGUUGAUCGGGAAAUGGUAUGACGUGCAUAUCUGACUCGCCGUUCUAUAGAAGUUAAUUAAUAGUAUUGGUCCCUUCUUCACCACGAAUCAUAUUAAUCAAUUACUUUUUUUGAGGGAAAUAUUAAUCAGUUGCAAUUAAUGUUUCCUUAUCUUAUUCUCUGUCCAUUAUAAAAGGAGCAUCAUUUGCCAUUGAGUACCACACUCAACAGCCCAAAGAUCACAAAAACGCCAUUGUAGCUACUCAAUCCUAGCAUUAAGUUUGUAACAAGAAAUGAGGAGCACACAAAUCCUAUUCCUGGCAUUUGCCUUCUUGAUGCUAUCGUCAGCUAUGGCAACUUCUAAGCCAGUAUGCAACCAUAUCCUCAAAAAGGGACAUUGUAACAACAAUGAUUGCCGAGCGUACUGCAAGAAGUUCAUCCCCCCACCCGGUGGCCCAUCUCCCAAGUACAUACCCGAGGGAUGCCAAUGUUAUGUAUGCGGAUGACUACCACUAAACCUGGAAUCUAGCUAGAUAAAAAAUUCAUAUACAUGGAUGUAUCACAGUUGCUUGAGUAAUGAAUAAUGAUUUGAGUAA